UGCAUUAGUUUUUUGAAGUGCUGUUGGGGUUGGGGCUGCGUGAUCGUCACUGGCGUCCUCCAGAGUGCCCACCGAUCAGAGAGUCGUACGAACCGCAAGCUUUGAACGUCUGUUUAUCGCACCAUCGAAAGCGGCGGCACAGAAGGCGCGAUGUGAGCUCCGGUGGGAACAGCAGCCCUUUGUCUCGUAACGGUGCCGUCCAGACUGGCCAUGAGACCAGCGAGUUUGCUGUAGAAACAGCCAUUUGGGAGUGGCUGCGUCACGCUUCUGCCAGGCACAGAACUGCCAUUGCCAAGGACUGUGCCACUGAACAGCCCGGAUAUGUGUGGCA
Long non-coding RNA from Dermacentor silvarum, 331 nucleotides. RefSeq lists it as uncharacterized. The record is from RefSeq and is a predicted model, not a curated record. The transcript has 3 exons. NCBI's taxonomy places the organism in Eukaryota, Metazoa, Arthropoda, Arachnida, Ixodida, Ixodidae.